RNAcentral lists this long non-coding RNA (541 nucleotides) under Neogale vison (American mink). Its description in RNAcentral is "Neovison vison (American mink) lncRNA (ENSNVIG00000013661.1)". Lineage: Eukaryota; Metazoa; Chordata; Mammalia; Carnivora; Mustelidae. The record is from RNAcentral.
AAUAACUAGUUUACUCCAAUUCAGCUCUUUAUUUUUUUUCUCUUGCAGUAAACAUUGAAGUCUUCAGAAAACAAGUAAAGGAAUCCAAGGCAAGGAAGAAAGUAAAUUCAUCCUGGAAGGACUCAAAGCACUUUGAAAUUUUAAACGAAUGUAAUGAUAGCUGCUAAAACCACCUUUGUCACCAUAAUGGAUGAAGUACUUCAAAUUUAAACGGAAUUUAGAGUUAUUAGAAACAAGAAUCCAGAGUAGAAAAGAAGAGAAAAACUGGAAAAGAUUAUAAAAUUUUUUCUUCUUGUGAAAUUACAAGGACUGUUGCAUUUCAGGUAGAACAGAAAGCAAUUGUAGAAAGACUUAAGACUGCUUGUCAGUCUUCUUAAAUCUCUUUGAUCUUUGGCUGUAAUUGUUACAGUGCAUGUUUGGUAAAGAUUAAAAUGUUUGCAAAAUUUUUAAGGCAUCUUAGUGAACAAUUCAUUGCUAGUGUACUAAUUUGAUUUUGAUGGUAAGCAUUUGUUUGGGUCACUGUAUCUUGGUAGUGAAUGGG